GAGUUUGAUCCUGGCUCAGAUUGAACGCUGGCGGCAUGCCUUACACAUGCAAGUCGAACGGUAACAGGUCUUCGGAUGCUGACGAGUGGCGAACGGGUGAGUAACACAUCGGAACGUGCCCGAUCGUGGGGGAUAACGAAGCGAAAGCUUUGCUAAUACCGCAUACGAUCUACGGAUGAAAGCAGGGGACCGCAAGGCCUUGCGCGAACGGAGCGGCCGAUGGCAGAUUAGGUAGUUGGUGGGAUAAAAGCUUACCAAGCCGACGAUCUGUAGCUGGUCUGAGAGGACGACCAGCCACACUGGGACUGAGGCACGGCCCAGACUCCUACGGGAGGCAGCAGUGGGGAAUUUUGGACAAUGGGCGAAAGCCUGAUCCAGCCAUGCCGCGUGCAGGAUGAAGGCCUCGGUUGUAAC
RNAcentral lists this ribosomal RNA (414 nucleotides) under uncultured microorganism. RNAcentral's name for it is "bacterial SSU rRNA". It matches the Rfam family "Bacterial small subunit ribosomal RNA", at positions 9 to 429 of the family's 1533-position model. The record is from RNAcentral.